RNAcentral lists this transfer RNA (72 nucleotides) under Dendrosenecio cheranganiensis. RNAcentral describes it as "tRNA-Gln". The record is from RNAcentral. RNAcentral also lists the same sequence under 14 other names. Lineage: Eukaryota; Viridiplantae; Streptophyta; Magnoliopsida; Asterales; Asteraceae.
CUGGGACGGAAGGAUUCGAACCUCCGAAUAGCGGGAUCAAAACCCGUUGCCUUACCGCUUGGCUACGCCCCA